GACUUCCUGAGAGUCAGAAGAAUAUCCAAUCCUGCAUGUCUGAGACUUAUGCUAAGACACAUAAAGCACCCCUGGCUUUUAGACCGAUUGUCGAGGGGUGUGGGGCGCCGGCCUGCGGCCUGGGGGGGGCGGUGGCGUCCUGGAUUGGCUGUGAAGCCGGGGUUUGCCCCUGCACUGUAUCAUCUUCGGGGGCGUUGAUUGGGGGAGCAAGGUCUGUGGGCCUUCUAGGAAAUGAAAUAGUUUCCACCUAUGACUUUGAAAAAAUUUAUCACUCAGAUAUUUGGAACUCAUGGCACAUCAGUAAUUAUUGAUACAUAUUUUUAUGCAUAAAAUUUAUUAUUGAAUAUCUUAGUUAAAAAUUGCAAAUAUUACAUUAACU
Molecule: long non-coding RNA, 379 nt
Filed under: Androctonus crassicauda
Lineage: Eukaryota; Metazoa; Arthropoda; Arachnida; Scorpiones; Buthidae
Source: RNAcentral